Molecule: non-coding RNA, 75 nt
Organism: Podarcis lilfordi (Lilford's wall lizard)
Lineage: Eukaryota; Metazoa; Chordata; Lepidosauria; Squamata; Lacertidae
Source: the annotation of a GenBank genome assembly
GAAGGGCUGUGGCUCAGUGGUAGAGUUAUCUGCUUUGCAUGCAGGAGGUCCCCGGUUCAAUCCCCAGCAUCUUCA